This 705-nucleotide ribosomal RNA is filed under the name Lactobacillus sp. Its description in RNAcentral is "bacterial SSU rRNA". It matches the Rfam family "Bacterial small subunit ribosomal RNA", at positions 800 to 1506 of the family's 1533-position model. Lineage: Bacteria; Bacillati; Bacillota; Bacilli; Lactobacillales; Lactobacillaceae. The record is from RNAcentral.
UAUGUUACGAUGAUGCUAGUGUUGGAGGGUUUCCGCCCUUCAGUGCUGCAGCUAACGCAUUAAGCAUUCCGCCUGGGGAGUACGGCCGCAAGGCUGAAACUCAAAGGAAUUGACGGGGGCCCGCACAAGCGGUGGAGCAUGUGGUUUAAUUCGAAGCUACGCGAAGAACCUUACCAGGUCUUGACAUACUAUGCAAAUCUAAGAGAUUAGACGUUCCCUUCGGGGACAUGGAUACAGGUGGUGCAUGGUUGUCGUCAGCUCGUGUCGUGAGAUGUUGGGUUAAGUCCCGCAACGAGCGCAACCCUUAUUAUCAGUUGCCAGCAUUAAGUUGGGCACUCUGGUGAGACUGCCGGUGACAAACCGGAGGAAGGUGGGGAUGACGUCAAAUCAUCAUGCCCCUUAUGACCUGGGCUACACACGUGCUACAAUGGAUGGUACAACGAGUUGCGAACUCGCGAGAGUAAGCUAAUCUCUUAAAGCCAUUCUCAGUUCGGAUUGUAGGCUGCAACUCGCCUACAUGAAGUCGGAAUCGCUAGUAAUCGCGGAUCAGCAUGCCGCGGUGAAUACGUUCCCGGGCCUUGUACACACCGCCCGUCACACCAUGAGAGUUUGUAACACCCAAAGUCGGUGGGGUAACCUUUUAGGAACCAGCCGCCUAAGGUGGGACAGAUGAUUAGGGUGAAGUCGUAACAGGUAAACCGGAAA